GAGAGAAGAAGAAAGAGCCCGGUUCCUGGAGCUAUGGCCAGACUGUGGGGAGCCCGAGAAGAUGAUCCAAGAACAAGCUGGGAAGGUACAGUGGCAGGUCUUCAGCUUGUCUUCGGGGAGAGGAAACCCAGGAGGGAGGAAAAUUAUGGGCAAGGAAGAACAUCAGACAACAAGGAAUUAAUGUGGUGGACGACUCCCCUGCUGAUGAUGACUUGUAGACAACCCAAGAGGAACUGACCAUA
Naja naja (Indian cobra) is the source of this 242-nucleotide long non-coding RNA. Lineage: Eukaryota; Metazoa; Chordata; Lepidosauria; Squamata; Elapidae. The record is from Ensembl.